Molecule: ribosomal RNA, 301 nt
Filed under: uncultured bacterium
Lineage: Bacteria
Description: partial 16S ribosomal RNA
Rfam family: Bacterial small subunit ribosomal RNA
Source: RNAcentral
CAGCCGCCGCGGGAAUACAGAGGGUGCAAGCGUUAAUCGGAAUUACUGGGCGUAAAGCGCGCGUAGGUGGUUCGCCAAGUUGGAUGUGAAAUCCCCGGGCUCAACCUGGGAACUGCAUCCAAAACUGGCAAGCUAGAGUAUGGUAGAGGGUGGUGGAAUUUCCUGUGUAGCGGUGAAAUGCGUAGAUAUAGGAAGGAACACCAGUGGCGAAGGCGACCACCUGGACUGAUACUGACACUGAGGUGCGAAAGCGUGGGGAGCAAACAGGAUUAGAUACCCCCGUAGUCCCUGUCUCUUAUAC